RNAcentral lists this unclassified non-coding RNA (310 nucleotides) under plant metagenome. Its description in RNAcentral is "partial contains 5.8S ribosomal RNA, internal transcribed spacer 2, and large subunit ribosomal RNA". The stretch from base 1 to 105 matches the Rfam family "5.8S ribosomal RNA", at positions 50 to 154 of the family's 154-position model. The record is from RNAcentral.
GAAAUGCGAUAAGUAGUGUGAAUUGCAGAAUUCAGUGAAUCAUCGAAUCUUUGAACGCACAUUGCGCCCCUUGGUAUUCCAUUGGGCAUGCCUGUUCGAGCGUCAUUUGUACCCUCAAGCUCUGCUUGGUGUUGGGUGUUUGUCCCCGUCUCCGCGCGUGGACUCGCCCCAAAGUGAUUGGCAGCCGGCGUACUGGUCCCGGAGCGCAGCACAUGUCGCGCAAACGAGUGCCUUGGUACGGCGGCGUCCAUAAGCCCCUCUCUCACGCUCUUGACCUCGGAUCAGGUAGGGAUACCCGCUGAACUUAAGC